RNAcentral lists this unclassified non-coding RNA (1218 nucleotides) under Neodiprion pinetum (white pine sawfly). RNAcentral describes it as "mitochondrial genome maintenance exonuclease 1-like, transcript variant X10". Lineage: Eukaryota; Metazoa; Arthropoda; Insecta; Hymenoptera; Diprionidae. The record is from RNAcentral.
AUCGGAAUCGAUUUUACCAUCCCUAGAUCGUUCCAGUGGUUCCAGUAUUAUUAUUUUUCAGGAGUCCGACCUCUUGCUCACCACUUUACAUGAAAGUUACGAAACCUGCGAAAAUGAAGGUUAUGGUUGUGUUUGCCGUCCCAUGCCUGACUUGUUUACGUAAGGUAUUCCAAUCGGUACUUCGUUCGAAGACAACACGAGCUCAAUCAAUGAUGCGGUUUCAAUCCGAGAAUAAGCAGCUAUACGGGAAGGUUCUUGAAACCAAGAAGCAAAAAAUUGCUAGAGCGAAACACAUAGAUGAAGAAGUCCUGAACGAAGCGGAGUCCCAAAUAGACUCCGAGGCUUUCUGGCUUUCGAAAGUGGAUAACGAAGUGGUACGAAGAGUAAAAAUUAAUCGUAAAUCAAUACCAAGCCGAAGGAUAAAGAUUGAAGAAACAUCAAAAAAUGCACGAAAGAAACAGGAAGCCAUAUAUCGUACUUCGCUAGUGGAUGCAGAAGUUGAACAAUCUAGGAUGGAAAAUGUGCCCGGAAAAGUUGAACAUCUUACUCAUAUUGUCCAUAAAAACAAACGACUUGGCUUUCCUUCAGAGAUAUUAAUAAAAAAUAUCACUAACUUUUCUUAUUUAGAUAAAAGUAAGGAUGUCGGAGUGUGUACACACGAAGUAGUUUCUAUACCGGUGUAUCAUGAUUCUACAACAGCAUUUAUUCCAAGUGUUUCAAAAAUUUUAAAUCAAACUAUGUCAGAGGAGUCAAAAUUGAAUUUAGAAUUAUGGAAGAAAAGAAUGAUAGCUUUGAUGGGUGAAAAAGGCUUCGAAGAACAUCAACAAGAGACACUUUGUUAUGGGAGGCAAUUUCAUUCUAUCAUUCACAAUUUUCUCACCCAAAAGCCAAUUAAUGUUCCUGACGCAUUGGAGAAAUCUUGGCAGAGUGUGCAGCAGGUUUUGAAAGAAGUGCAUGGAGUCGCAGCACUGGAAAGCCACACCAUACAUUCUAAAUUGCAUUACAGAGGAGUCGUUGAUUGUGUUGCUCUGUAUAGCGUGAAUUGUCUAAGAAUACAGCAAUACCGUGGUCGAUAUCGGAAAAUAUUCAACCGACGCAAAUAUCAAAUGAUACAGAAAUUGGAUGUUAUUUAUUGAAAGAAAAAAUCUGAAAUUCAAUGUGAAAUGUCAUUAAAAAGUGGGAGUUUGGACAAGCAGAGGCUCGAAGUUUAAACUUUGA